GGGUUGUGAGGUUAAGCGACUAAGCGUACACGGUGGAUGCCCUGGCAGUCAGAGGCGAUGAAGGGCGUGCUAAUCUGCGAUAAGCGCCGGUAAGGUGAUAUGAACCGUUAUAACCGGCGAUACCCGAAUGGGGAAACCCAGUGUGAUUCGUCACACUAUCAUUAACUGAAUCCAUAGGUUAAUGAGGCGAACCGGGGGAACUGAAACAUCUAAGUACCCCGAGGAAAAGAAAUCAACCGAGAUUCCCCCAGUAGCGGCGAGCGAACGGGGAGGAGCCCAGAGCCUGAAUCAGCAUGUGUGUUAGUGGAAGCGUCUGGAAAGGCGCGCGAUACAGGGUGACAGCCCCGUACACAAAAGCGCAUGUGCUGUGAGCUCGAUGAGUAGGGCGGGACACGUGGUAUCCUGUCUGAAUAUGGGGGGACCAUCCUCCAAGGCUAAAUACUCCUGACUGACCGAUAGUGAACCAGUACCGUGAGGGAAAGGCGAAAAGAACCCCGGCGAGGGGAGUGAAAAAGAACCUGAAACCGUGUACGUACAAGCAGUGGGAGCNNGUGACUGCGUACCUUUUGUAUAAUGGGUCAGCGACUUAUAUUCUGUAGCAAGGUUAACCGUAUAGGGGAGCCGGAGGGAAACCGAGUCUUAAUUGGGCGUUAAGUUGCAGGGUAUAGACCCGAAACCCGGUGAUCUAGCCAUGGGCAGGUUGAAGGUUGGGUAACACUAACUGGAGGACCGAACCGACUAAUGUUGAAAAAUUAGCGGAUGACCUGUGGCUGGGGGUGAAAGGCCAAUCAAACCGGGAGAUAGCUGGUUCUCCCCGAAAGCUAUUUAGGUAGCGCCUCGUGAAUUCAUCUCCGGGGGUAGAGCACUGUUUCGGCUAGGGGGCCAUCCCGGCUUACCAACCCGAUGCAAACUGCGAAUACCGGAGAAUGUUAUCACGGGAGACACACGGCGGGUGCUAACGUCCGUCGUGAAGAGGGAAACAACCCAGACCGCCAGCUAAGGUCCCAAAGUCAUGGUUAAGUGGGAAACGAUGUGGGAAGGCCCAGACAGCCAGGAUGUUGGCUUAGAAGCAGCCAUCAUUUAAAGAAAGCGUAAUAGCUCACUGGUCGAGUCGGCCUGCGCGGAAGAUGUAACGGGGCUAAACCAUGCACCGAAGCUGCGGCAGCGANNUGCUGGAGGUAUCAGAAGUGCGAAUGCUGACAUAAGUAACGAUAAAGCGGGUGAAAAGCCCGCUCGCCGGAAGACCAAGGGUUCCUGUCCAACGUUAAUCGGGGCAGGGUGAGUCGACCCCUAAGGCGAGGCCGAAAGGCGUAGUCGAUGGGAAACGGGUUAAUAUUCCCGUACUUGGUGUUACUGCGAAGGGGGGACGGAGAAGGCUAUGUUGGCCGGGCGACGGUUGUCCCGGUUUAAGCGUGUAGGUGUGUGUUCCAGGUAAAUCCGGUUCACUUUAACACUGAGGCGUGACGACGAGGCACUACGGUGCUGAAGCAACAAAUGCCCUGCUUCCAGGAAAAGCCUCUAAGCAUCAGGUAACAUCAAAUCGUACCCCAAACCGACACAGGUGGUCAGGUAGAGAAUACCAAGGCGCUUGAGAGAACUCGGGUGAAGGAACUAGGCAAAAUGGUGCCGUAACUUCGGGAGAAGGCACGCUGACACGUAGGUGAAGUGAUUUACUCAUGGAGCUGAAGUCAGUCGAAGAUACCAGCUGGCUGCAACUGUUUAUUAAAAACACAGCACUGUGCAAACACGAAAGUGGACGUAUACGGUGUGACGCCUGCCCGGUGCCGGAAGGUUAAUUGAUGGGGUCAGCGCAAGCGAAGCUCCUGAUCGAAGCCCCGGUAAACGGCGGCCGUAACUAUAACGGUCCUAAGGUAGCGAAAUUCCUUGUCGGGUAAGUUCCGACCUGCACGAAUGGCGUAAUGAUGGCCAGGCUGUCUCCACCCGAGACUCAGUGAAAUUGAACUCGCUGUGAAGAUGCAGUGUACCCGCGGCAAGACGGAAAGACCCCGUGAACCUUUACUAUAGCUUGACACUGAACAUUGAGCCUUGAUGUGUAGGAUAGGUGGGAGGCUUUGAAGUGUGGACGCCAGUCUGCAUGGAGCCGACCUUGAAAUACCACCCUUUAAUGUUUGAUGUUCUAACGUGGACCCGUAAUCCGGGUUGCGGACAGUGUCUGGUGGGUAGUUUGACUGGGGCGGUCUCCUCCUAAAGAGUAACGGAGGAGCACGAAGGUUGGCUAAUCCUGGUCGGACAUCAGGAGGUUAGUGCAAUGGCAUAAGCCAGCUUGACUGCGAGCGUGACGGCGCGAGCAGGUGCGAAAGCAGGUCAUAGUGAUCCGGUGGUUCUGAAUGGAAGGGCCAUCGCUCAACGGAUAAAAGGUACUCCGGGGAUAACAGGCUGAUACCGCCCAAGAGUUCAUAUCGACGGCGGUGUUUGGCACCUCGAUGUCGGCUCAUCACAUCCUGGGGCUGAAGUAGGUCCCAAGGGUAUGGCUGUUCGCCAUUUAAAGUGGUACGCGAGCUGGGUUUAGAACGUCGUGAGACAGUUCGGUCCCUAUCUGCCGUGGGCGCUGGAGAACUGAGGGGGGCUGCUCCUAGUACGAGAGGACCGGAGUGGACGCAUCACUGGUGUUCGGGUUGUCAUGCCAAUGGCACUGCCCGGUAGCUAAAUGCGGAAGAGAUAAGUGCUGAAAGCAUCUAAGCACGAAACUUGCCCCGAGAUGAGUUCUCCCUGAGACUUAGAGUCUCCUGAAGGAACGUUGAAGACGACGACGUUGAUAGGCCGGGUGUGUAAGCGCAGCGAUGCGUUGAGCUAACCGGUACUAAUGA
This 2828-nucleotide ribosomal RNA is filed under the name Salmonella enterica subsp. enterica serovar Typhimurium. RNAcentral's name for it is "partial 23S ribosomal RNA". It matches the Rfam family "Bacterial large subunit ribosomal RNA". The record is from RNAcentral. Lineage: Bacteria; Pseudomonadati; Pseudomonadota; Gammaproteobacteria; Enterobacterales; Enterobacteriaceae.